This 216-nucleotide long non-coding RNA is filed under the name Homo sapiens (human). Its description in RNAcentral is "non-protein coding lnc-FPGT-6:2". The record is from RNAcentral. Lineage: Eukaryota; Metazoa; Chordata; Mammalia; Primates; Hominidae.
AGGAAAUCUCAGAUGGUUGUCUACAGUUACAAGGGGGAUUUUUGGACUGAUUUGUGAUUUUUCUGGGAAUGCAACUCAAGUUAGAAGAGGCCAUUAUCUGAAAGAAGAAGAAGCACCAGCUGAUGUGUUGGUUAUUUUAGGGCGACAUUUGCAGUUGCUUGGGCAAUAUCAUGAGCCUCACCUCAUGCAGGGUCUGGGUCCCAGACCCAAAGACUG